Molecule: long non-coding RNA, 1149 nt
Organism: Rhododendron vialii
Lineage: Eukaryota; Viridiplantae; Streptophyta; Magnoliopsida; Ericales; Ericaceae
Exons: 2
Source: RefSeq, a predicted model, not a curated record
AGCCGAGCUCGCGUAGACGGGCCUGGCCUGUAUCCACUGAGCCGUUACCGUUUUGCACCUGAGAUGGGAGGACCAUAUUUUCUUCACCACCAUGUCCACGAGCCCAACCCAUAUUUCUCUAGGGAGAGGGAGAGGGAGAGAGGUGGGGGUGCUCUUUGGAUGAAUCAGAGGCACCCUGUCUCUCUUUCCCUUCUUUGUGGUAUUCUUAAUGAUUCUUUAGAAUCAGAAUAGACUUUACUGGGUCUCUGCAAAUACUUUUAUAAACAGAUAUUUAUACAGAGAGAGAGAGAGAACCGUUAAUGGUUUUGCGAAUUGGAAUUGGAAUCUACGUUGAUUAAAAAAAAAUUGGAAUCUACGGAUCGUUGGAGGAAUGACGGUUGGAAAAGAUAAAGUAUGACAAAUGUGGAGCACACAUAUACUGAAAGGUUUCAGCUACAUCUUCAGCACAUCCAUCUGCGUUCAUAGCAUUUUUGCUGAACAUAUACCAAUACCUCUCUGACAUCGGGCCGCCUUAUGAGCACAACAAGCUCUAUUGUGACGCACAAAUAAAGUCUCCUUCACAAGUUUGAAAAUGUGAUUCUAAUUACGUAUUUUGUCAGACCCUAAGGGCUACGGUGACGCCAAUAUUCUACUUUGGCUCCUUGAUUUUGAUUUUUUUUAGAAAAAUUAACUUCUCCUUUAAUCACUUUGGAUUUACCAUCCAAACGAGAAGAAUUAAAAAAAAAAUACAUCAAGAUUUAUGCAUUGACACUUGAAAAUAAAUUAAUAUUAUGAAAACUUAAAAAAUACUAAUAUAUUAAAAUUAUGAAAUGAGAAUUAUGUUUAAAAUAGAGUAGGUGGAGUAUGAAUAACAAUAAUUCAGGGGGGAGAUCAGUCAAACAAAGCCACCAAUGAUAUCUUUGACGCGCUGGAUCAGAUCAGAUAACUGUAUGAAAGCAGUCAGUGUUUUUUUUUUUUUGUCUCCUUUCACGACUUCAUAUUCCUUCUAUUUACGGUUUUGGCCAUACAACUCCAUUAAUAAAUUUCACCCUAACACAUUCCUCCAAAUUAAGAACGCAAGUACUUUAUUUUUUAUUUUUCUAAAAUCACACGUCUUUUCAUAAAGAACUUCCGUAUCUUUUUGAGAUGAAUGAAACAUUUAUUGCAGUU